UGUGCGCCGCCCUAUGGGACUCCCAAUCACUGCCGUUGUGAUAUAGCCUGGAAUCGAAUUGCGCCACUCGGGAGCCAUAAUCCCUCAAUUCAGAGUUUUCAGACACCAUGGACAUUUUCCAUGAAUUCAGGAAAUAAUGUAAUCCUAUAGUGAAUUUGGACUUUAACUAAUAUUUUGGAAAUGUAUUAUUAUGGAAUAUAAACCGGGUGGUUCGAGCCUGAAUACUGAAAGCCAUGGUAUGCUACGGAUCACAGGGAUCGGGGCCUGUUCCAGAGGAAGCAGUAUAUCCUUUGCGUCGGGCUCGUCAGAGUCAUGAAAGGAAAAAAAGGUCCUUGACCAAGUUGAUCUCACGAGCCACUGGAGGUGGAGUGCCAUUCGUCUGGCAAGCAAGACUAAAGACCCAGUGCCAGACACACACACACACACAAAGAUGCUUGAAAUAGUACAUAUCCUCAGUGGUGUUUUUGUUGCUGGCAUUGUGUUAGGGCCUAGAGCCUUGGGGCAGUGGAAUUUAAUCAUUUUAGAGGACAGAUUACCUGUAAAAUGGGUCAGCCAAACAAACAGCCUUUAUCCCUCAGAUAAUCAAUCAAAAAAAUCUAGAUUGAGUAACUAGGAUUGUGACAUCAUAGCCUCACUGGCAGCAGGCAAUGUUUGUUUACAUCAAACAUGUAUUAAUAUGAGCACUCAAUGUACAGACACUGAAGCAAAUCUCCUCAAAAACAAAGAUCUUCAACUAAUCCUUUUGGAUGGCUGUCAAUGCCUUGACACUGUUUGCAGUCAAUCUAGGCUACUGUGUAAUGAGUUUCAAACAUGUAAUCAAAGAACAUCUACACCCUAUAAUCAUUGGAAAGUUAAUUCUGCAGGGUUGAGAGCUAUAGCCUAUCACAUAAGUAUGUGUCUGUCCUGCAUGUGUGUGUGUGUGUGUGUGUGUAUGUAUAUAUAUAUAUAUAUAUAUAUAUAUAUACUGAACAAAAAUAUAAAUGCAACAUGCAACAAUUUCAAAGAUUUCACAUGACUGGGCAGGGGUCCAGCCAUGGGUGGGUUUUGGAGGGUAUAGGCUCACCCACCUGGCAGCCAGGCCCAGCCAAUCAACAACAAAAAAUUGACAACAGAGGGGCUUUAUUACAGAAAGAAAUACUCCUCAGCACCCCCGCCAGACGCCCCCCCCCCCCUUCAGAUAGGAAACCGGAUGUGGAGACCUGAGCUGGCGUGGUUACAUGUGGUCUGCGGUUGUGAGGCUGGUUGGAAGUAAUGCCAAAUUCUCUAAAACAGAGGCAGCUUAUGAUACAGAAAAUUAACAUUACAUUAUCUGGCAACAGCUCUGGUGGACAUUCCUGCAGUCACCACGCUCCCUCAACUUAAGACAUCUGUGGCAUUGUGUUGUGUGACAAAACUGACCAAUUUAAAGUGGCCUUUUAUUGUCGACAGCACAAUUGUAAUGAGCUUGCUGUUUAAUCAGCUUCUUGAUAUGCCACAUCUGUCAGGUGGAUGGAUUAUCUUGACAAAGGGAGAAAUGCUCACUAACAGGGGGAUGUAAACAAAUUUGUGCAUAACAUUUGAGAGAAAUAAAGCUUUUUCUGUGUAUGGAACAUUUCUGGGAUUUUUUAUUUCAGUUAAUGAAACAUGGCACCAGCACAUUACAUGUUGCGUUUUAUAUUUUUGUUCAGAGUAUAUAUAUGUAUGUGUAUCUACAUAUGUACUGUAUGUGAGUAUAUAUAUUUAGGUUAAAUAUUCUACCGCAUUGAGCUUUAAAUAAAAACGUUUUAGCUAAUAAGAACAAAAUGCUCCUUAUAGUAUAAAAAACAGACUUACCAACUGCUAA
Molecule: long non-coding RNA, 1822 nt
Organism: Oncorhynchus kisutch (coho salmon)
Lineage: Eukaryota; Metazoa; Chordata; Actinopteri; Salmoniformes; Salmonidae
Exons: 3
Source: RefSeq, a predicted model, not a curated record